RNAcentral lists this ribosomal RNA (116 nucleotides) under Pteropus alecto (black flying fox). The record is from RNAcentral. Lineage: Eukaryota; Metazoa; Chordata; Mammalia; Chiroptera; Pteropodidae.
GUCUAGGGCCAUGCCACCCUGAACAAGCCUGAUAUCUGAUCUCAGAAGCUAAGUAGGUUCGGGCCUGGUUACUACUUGGAUGGGAGACCACCUAGGAAGACCAGGUGCUGUAGGAA